This 1978-nucleotide ribosomal RNA is filed under the name human gut metagenome. Its description in RNAcentral is "bacterial LSU rRNA". It matches the Rfam family "Bacterial large subunit ribosomal RNA", at positions 3 to 2006 of the family's 2925-position model. The record is from RNAcentral.
UUAAGUUAAUAAGGGCGCACGGUGGAUGCCUUGGCACUAGAAGCCGAUGAAGGACGUGACUAACGACGAAAUGCUUUGGGGAGCUGUAAGUGAGCAAUGAUCCAGAGAUGUCCGAAUGGGGGAACCCGGCAGGUAAUGCCUGUCACUCAUUACUGUUAAGGUAAUGUAGAGGAAGACGCAGUGAACUGAAACAUCUAAGUAGCUGCAGGAAGAGAAAGCAAAAGCGAUUGCCUUAGUAGCGGCGAGCGAAACGGCAAGAGGGCAAACCGAAGAGUUUACUCUUCGGGGUUGUAGGACUGCAACGUGGACUUAAAGAUUAUAGAAGAACUACCUGGGAAGGUAGGCCAAAGAGAGUAAUAGCCUCGUAUUCGAAAUAGUCUUUAUACCUAGCAGUAUCCUGAGUACGGCGAGACACGAGAAAUCUCGUCGGAAUCUGGGAGGACCAUCUCCCAACCCUAAAUACUCUCUAGUGACCGAUAGUGAACCAGUACCGUGAGGGAAAGGUGAAAAGCACCCCGGGAGGGGAGUGAAAUAGAACCUGAAACCGUGUGCCUACAACAAGUUCGAGCCCGUUAAUGGGUGAGAGCGUGCCUUUUGUAGAAUGAACCGGCGAGUUACGAUAUGAUGCGAGGUUAAGUUGAAGAGACGGAGCCGUAGGGAAACCGAGUCUUAAUAGGGCGCAUUAGUAUCAUGUCGUAGACCCGAAACCAUGUGACCUACCCAUGAGCAGGUUGAAGGUGAGGUAAAACUCACUGGAGGACCGAACCAGGGCACGUUGAAAAGUGCUUGGAUGACUUGUGGGUAGCGGAGAAAUUCCAAACGAACUUGGAGAUAGCUGGUUCUCUCCGAAAUAGCUUUAGGGCUAGCGUCGAUGUUAAGUCUCUUGGAGGUAGAGCACUGUUUGGGUGAGGGGUCCAUCCCGGAUUACCAAUCUCAGAUAAACUCCGAAUGCCAACGAGAUAUAAUCGGCAGUCAGACUGCGAGUGCUAAGAUCCGUAGUCGAAAGGGAAACAGCCCAGACCACCAGCUAAGGUCCCAAAAUAUAUGUUAAGUGGAAAAGGAUGUGGGGUUGCACAGACAACUAGGAUGUUAGCUUAGAAGCAGCUAUUCAUUCAAAGAGUGCGUAAUAGCUCACUAGUCGAGUGACCCUGCGCCGAAAAUGUACCGGGGCUAAAACAUAUUACCGAAGCUGUGGAUACCUUUAUAGGUAUGGUAGGAGAGCGUUCUAUGUGCGAAGAAGGUGUACCGUGAGGAGUGCUGGAGCGCAUAGAAGUGAGAAUGCCGGUAUGAGUAGCGAAAGACAGGUGAGAAUCCUGUCCACCGUAAGACUAAGGUUUCCAGGGGAAGGCUCGUCCGCCCUGGGUUAGUCGGGACCUAAGGAGAGACCGAAAGGUGUAUCCGAUGGACAACAGGUUGAUAUUCCUGUACUAGAGUAUAUAGUGAUGGAGGGACGCAGUAGGCUAACUAAACCAGACGAUUGGAAGUGUCUGGCCAAGCAGUGAGGUGUGAUAUGAGUCAAAUGCUUAUAUCUAUAACAUUGAGCUGUGAUGGGGAGCGAAGUUUAGUAGCGAAGUUAGUGAUGUCACACUGCCGAGAAAAGCUUCUAGCGUUAAUUAUACUCUACCCGUACCGCAAACCGACACAGGUAGUCGAGGCGAGUAGCCUCAGGUGAGCGAGAGAACUCUCGUUAAGGAACUCGGCAAAAUGGCCCCGUAACUUCGGGAGAAGGGGCGCUGACUUAUGGUCAGCCGCAGUGAAUAGGCCCAAGCAACUGUUUAUCAAAAACACAGCUCUCUGCUAAAUCGUAAGAUGAUGUAUAGGGGGUGACGCCUGCCCGGUGCUGGAAGGUUAAGAGGAGUGCUUAGCAAUAGCGAAGGUAUGAAUUGAAGCCCCAGUAAACGGCGGCCGUAACUAUAACGGUCCUAAGGUAGCGAAAUUCCUUGUCGGGUAAGUUCCGACCCGCACGAAAGGCGUAAUG